RNAcentral lists this ribosomal RNA (426 nucleotides) under uncultured bacterium. RNAcentral's name for it is "bacterial SSU rRNA". It matches the Rfam family "Bacterial small subunit ribosomal RNA", at positions 355 to 776 of the family's 1533-position model. The record is from RNAcentral.
UGAGGAAUAUUGGUCAAUGGGCGCAAGCCUGAACCAGCCAAGCCGCGUGCAGGAAGACGGCCCUAUGGGUUGUAAACUGCUUUUAUACGGGAAUAAAUCGAGAUACGCGUUAUUUUGAGUGCAUGUACUGUAUGAAUAAGCAUCGGCUAACUCCGUGCCAGCAGCCGCGGUAAUACGGAGGAUGCAGGCGUUAUCCGGAUUUAUUAGGUUUAAAGGGUGCGUAGGCGGUUUAAUAAGUCAGGGGUGAAAUCUUUAAGCUUAACUUAAAGGUUGCCUUUGAUACUGUUAGGCUUGAGUACGAUCGAGGUAGGCGGAAUGUGCAGUGUAGCGGUGAAAUGCUUAGAUAUUGCACAGAACACCGAUUGCGAAGGCAGCUUACUAGAACGUUACUGACGCUGAUGCACGAAAGCGUGGGGAUCAAACAGG